Molecule: ribosomal RNA, 398 nt
Filed under: uncultured bacterium
Lineage: Bacteria
Description: partial 16S ribosomal RNA
Rfam family: Bacterial small subunit ribosomal RNA
Source: RNAcentral
UGGGGAAUUUUGGACAAUGGGCGAAAGCCUGAUCCAGCAAUGCCGCGUGUGUGAAGAAGGCCUUCGGGUUGUAAAGCACUUUUGUCCGGAAAGAAAUGGCUCUGGUUAAUACCUGGGGUCGAUGACGGUACCGGAAGAAUAAGGACCGGCUAACUACGUGCCAGCAGCCGCGGUAAUACGUAGGGUCCAAGCGUUAAUCGGAAUUACUGGGCGUAAAGCGUGCGCAGGCGGUUGUGCAAGACCGAUGUGAAAUCCCCGAGCUUAACUUGGGAAUUGCAUUGGUGACUGCACGGCUAGAGUGUGUCAGAGGGGGGUUAGAAUUCCACGUGUAGCAGUGAAAUGCGUAGAGAUGUGGAGGAAUACCGAUGGCGAAGGCAGCCCCCUGGGAUAACACUGAC